Molecule: ribosomal RNA, 470 nt
Filed under: uncultured bacterium
Lineage: Bacteria
Description: partial 16S ribosomal RNA
Rfam family: Bacterial small subunit ribosomal RNA
Source: RNAcentral
GACGAACGCUGGCGGCGUGCUUAACACAUGCAAGUCGAACGGUGAACGAGGGAGCUUGCUCCCUCCGGAUCAGCGGCGAACGGGUGAGUAACACGUGAGCAAUCUGCCCCGAACUCUGGGAUAAGCGUUGGAAACGACGUCUAAUACCGGAUACGACGCGGGAGGGCAUCCUCUCCGCGUGGAAAGAACUUCGGUUCGGGAUGAGCUCGCGGCCUAUCAGCUUGUUGGUGAGGUAACGGCUCACCAAGGCGACGACGGGUAGCCGGCCUGAGAGGGUGACCGGCCACACUGGGACUGAGACACGGCCCAGACUCCUACGGGAGGCAGCAGUGGGGAAUAUUGCACAAUGGGCGCAAGCCUGAUGCAGCAACGCCGCGUGAGGGACGACGGCCUUCGGGUUGUAAACCUCUUUUAGCAGGGAAGAAGCGAAAGUGACGGUACCUGCAGAAAAAGCACCGGCUAACUACGUG